This 760-nucleotide ribosomal RNA is filed under the name uncultured bacterium. Its description in RNAcentral is "bacterial SSU rRNA". It matches the Rfam family "Bacterial small subunit ribosomal RNA", at positions 73 to 844 of the family's 1533-position model. The record is from RNAcentral.
GGUGUAGCAAUACACCGGAAGAUUUAGUGGCGAACGGGUGAGGAUCACGUGAGAAACGUGCCCCAGACUCUGGGAUAACAAUUGGGAACGAUUGCUAAUACCGGAUGACGUCGGAGAAUCGCAUGAUUCACUGACGAAAGAUAUUUCGGUUUGGGAGCGUCUCGCGGCCUAUCAGCUUGUUGGUGGGGUAAUGGCCUACCAAGGCAACGACGGGUAGCUGGUCUGAGAGGAUGAUCAGCCACACUGGGACUGAGACACGGCCCAGACUCCUACGGGAGGCAGCAGUGGGGAAUCUUGCGCAAUGGGCGAAAGCCUGACGCAGCAACGCCGCGUGCGGGAUGAAGGCCUUCGGGCUGUAAACCGCUUUCAGCAGGAACGAAAAUGACGGUACCUGCAGAAGAAGGAGCGGCCAACUACGUGCCAGCAGCCGCGGUGACACGUAGGCUCCAAGCGUUGUCCGGAUUUAUUGGGCGUAAAGAGCUCGUAGGCGGUUGAGUAAGUCGGGUGUGAAAACUCUGGGCUUAACCCGGAGACGCCAUCCGAUACUGCUCUGACUAGAGUUCAGGAGGGGAGUGGGGAAUUCCUAGUGUAGCGGUGAAAUGCGCAGAUAUUAGGAGGAACACCGGUGGCGAAGGCGCCACUCUGGACUGAAACUGACGCUGAGGAGCGAAAGCAUGGGUAGCAAACAGGAUUAGAUACCCUGGUAGUCCAUGCCGUAAACGGUGGGCACUAGGUGUGGGUUCCAACUAACGGGAUCCGC